CUGGCAUCGAUGAAGAACGCAGCGAAAUGCGAUACGUAGUGUGAAUUGCAGAAUUCAGUGAAUCAUCGAAUCUUUGAACGCACAUUGCGCCCUUUGGUAUUCCAAAGGGCAUGCCUGUUCGAGCGUCAUUUGUACCCUCAAGCUUUGCUUGGUGUUG
RNAcentral lists this ribosomal RNA (157 nucleotides) under Curvularia hawaiiensis. RNAcentral's name for it is "5.8S ribosomal RNA". The stretch from base 1 to 128 matches the Rfam family "5.8S ribosomal RNA", at positions 27 to 154 of the family's 154-position model. Rfam says of the family: 5.8S ribosomal RNA (5.8S rRNA) is a component of the large subunit of the eukaryotic ribosome. It is transcribed by RNA polymerase I as part of the 45S precursor that also contains 18S and 28S rRNA. The record is from RNAcentral. Lineage: Eukaryota; Fungi; Ascomycota; Dothideomycetes; Pleosporales; Pleosporaceae.